GCCACCAGCCAGAGCACGUUGAAUGCACCAGUUUUUAAUGGAUCACUAAAGUUGAGCAACGUUGCACAGGGUUAGUAUCCGAAUGGGUGACAAUCUGGACAAUCUGAGUUUUCGGCC
Molecule: ribosomal RNA, 117 nt
Filed under: Diaphorina citri (Asian citrus psyllid)
Lineage: Eukaryota; Metazoa; Arthropoda; Insecta; Hemiptera; Psyllidae
Source: RNAcentral